CAGUAGCCACGGGAAUACAGAGGAUUUAAGCGUUAUCCGGAACGAUUGGGCGUAAAGCGUCUGUAGGUGGCUUUUCAAGUCCGUCGUCAAAUCCCAGGGCUCAACCCUGGACAGGCGGUGGAAACUACCAAGCUGGAGUACGGUAGGGCAGAGGGAAUUUCCAGUGGAGCGGUGAAAUGCGUUGAGAUCGGAAAGAACACCAACGGCGAAAGCACUCUGCUGGGCCGACACUGACACUGAGAGACGAAAGCUAGGGGAGCAAAUGGGAUUAGAUACCCCAGUAGUCCCUGUCUCUUAUACA
This 301-nucleotide ribosomal RNA is filed under the name uncultured bacterium. RNAcentral's name for it is "partial 16S ribosomal RNA". It matches the Rfam family "Bacterial small subunit ribosomal RNA", at positions 509 to 808 of the family's 1533-position model. The record is from RNAcentral.